GACGAACGCUGGCGGCGUGCUUAACACAUGCAAGUCGAACGGAAAGGCCCCUUUGGGGGUACUCGAGUGGCGAACGGGUGAGUAACACGUGAGUAACCUGCCCUUGACUUCGGGAUAACUUCAGGAAACUGGGGCUAAUACCGGAUAGGAAUCCUUGCUGCAUGGUGGGGGUUGGAAAGCUUCGGCGGUUUUGGAUGGACUCGCGGCUUAUCAGCUUGUUGGUGGGGUAGUGGCUUACCAAGGCUUUGACGGGUAGCCGGCCUGAGAGGGCGACCGGCCACAUUGGGACUGAGAGACGGCCCAGACUCCUACGGGAGGCAGCAGUGGGGAAGAUUGGACAAUGGGCGUAAGCCUGGUGCAGCAACGCCGCGUGCGGGAUGACGGCCUUCGGGUUGUAAACCGCUUUCAGCAGGGGCGAAGCUUGUGGUGACGGUACCUGGAGAAGAAGCACCGGCUAACUACGUG
RNAcentral lists this ribosomal RNA (465 nucleotides) under uncultured bacterium. Its description in RNAcentral is "partial 16S ribosomal RNA". It matches the Rfam family "Bacterial small subunit ribosomal RNA", at positions 28 to 507 of the family's 1533-position model. The record is from RNAcentral.